AUUGAACGCUGGCGGCAUGCCUUACACAUGCAAGUCGAACGGCAGCACGGGAGCUUGCUCCUGGUGGCGAGUGGCGAACGGGUGAGUAAUACAUCGGAACGUACCCAGUAGUGGGGGAUAACGCACCGAAAGGUGCGCUAAUACCGCAUACGACCUAAGGGUGAAAGCGGGGGACCGCAAGGCCUCGCGCUAUUGGAGCGGCCGAUGUCUGAUUAGCUAGUUGGCGGGGUAAAGGCCCACCAAGGCGACGAUCAGUAGCUGGUCUGAGAGGACGAUCAGCCACACUGGGACUGGAACACGGCCCAGACUCCUGCGGGAGGCAGCAGUGGGGAAUUUUGGACAAUGGGGGCAACCCUGAUCCAGCAAUGCCGCGUGUGCGAAGAAGGCCUUCGGGUUGUAAAGCACUUUUGUCAGGGAAGAAAUCUUUCGGGCUAAUACCCUUGGAAGGAUGACGGUACCUGAAGAAUAAGCACCGGCUAACUACGUGCCAGCCGCCGCAGUAA
This 503-nucleotide ribosomal RNA is filed under the name uncultured bacterium. RNAcentral describes it as "partial 16S ribosomal RNA". It matches the Rfam family "Bacterial small subunit ribosomal RNA", at positions 29 to 523 of the family's 1533-position model. The record is from RNAcentral.